AACGCUGGCGGCGUGCCUAAUACAUGCAAGUCGAGCGAAUCUUAAGGUGCUUGCACCUUUUGGUUAGCGGCGGACGGGUGAGUAACACGUGGGCAACCUGCCUGUAAGACUGGGAUAACUUCGGGAAACCGGAGCUAAUACCGGAUAAUCCUUUUCCUCUCAUGAGGAAAAGCUGAAAGUCGGUUUACGCUGACACUUACAGAUGGGCCCGCGGCGCAUUAGCUAGUUGGUGAGGUAACGGCUCACCAAGGCGACGAUGCGUAGCCGACCUGAGAGGGUGAUCGGCCACACUGGGACUGAGACACGGCCCAGACUCCUACGGGAGGCAGCAGUAGGGAAUCUUCCGCAAUGGACGAAAGUCUGACGGAGCAACGCCGCGUGAGCGAUGAAGGCCUUCGGGUCGUAAAGCUCUGUUGUUAGGGAAGAACAAGUAUCGGAGUAACUGCCGGUACCUUGACGGUACCUAACCAGAAAGCCACGGCUAACUACGUGCCAGCAGCCGCGGUAAUACGUAGGUGGCAAGCGUUGUCCGGAAUUAUUGGGCGUAAAGCGCGCGCAGGCGGUCCUUUAAGUCUGAUGUGAAAGCCCACGGCUCAACCGUGGAGUGUCAUUGGAAACUGGGGGACUUGAGUAC
This 634-nucleotide ribosomal RNA is filed under the name Bacillus sp. 7884-1. RNAcentral's name for it is "Bacterial small subunit ribosomal RNA". It matches the Rfam family "Bacterial small subunit ribosomal RNA", at positions 32 to 649 of the family's 1533-position model. Lineage: Bacteria; Bacillati; Bacillota; Bacilli; Caryophanales; Bacillaceae. The record is from Rfam by way of RNAcentral.